GACGAACCGUGCGAACGUUGUUCGGAAUCACUGGGCUUAAAGGGCGCGUAGGCGGGCUGGUAAGUCGGGGGUGAAAGCCUGUGGCUCAACCACAGAAUUGCCUUCGAUACUGCAUGGCUUGAGACCGGAAGAGGUCAGCGGAACUGCGAGUGUAGAGGUGAAAUUCGUAGAUAUUCGCAAGAACACCAGUGGCGAAGGCGGCUGACUGGUCCGGAUCUGACGCUGAGGCGCGAAAGCGUGGGGAGCAAACAGGG
Molecule: ribosomal RNA, 254 nt
Filed under: uncultured bacterium
Lineage: Bacteria
Description: partial 16S ribosomal RNA
Rfam family: Bacterial small subunit ribosomal RNA
Source: RNAcentral